Podarcis lilfordi (Lilford's wall lizard) is the source of this 75-nucleotide non-coding RNA. The record is from the annotation of a GenBank genome assembly. NCBI's taxonomy places the organism in Eukaryota, Metazoa, Chordata, Lepidosauria, Squamata, Lacertidae.
GGAAAGGCUGUAGCUCAGUGGAAGAGCUUCUGUUUCACAUGUAGAAGGUCCCAGGUUCAGUCCUUGGCCUCUCCA